CAAUAGCGUAUAUUAAAGUUGUUGCGGUUAAAAAGCUCGUAGUUGGAUUUCUGCUGAGAACGACCGGUCCGCCCUUUGGGUGUGUAUCUGGCUCUUUCUUGGCAUCUUCUUGGUGAACGUUGCUGCACUUGACUGUGUGGAGCGCUACCCAGGACUUUUACUUUGAGGAAAUUAGAGUGUUUCAAGCAGGCAUACGCCUUGAAUACAUUAGCAUGGAAUAAUAAGAUAGGACCUCGGUUCUAUUUUGUUGGUUUCUAGAGCUGAGGUAAUGAUUAAUAGGGAUAGUUGGGGGCAUUCGUAUUUAACUGUCAGAGGUGAAAUUCUUGGAUUUGUUAAAGGCGGACUACUGCGAAAGCAUUUGCCAAGGAUGUUUNCAUUG
RNAcentral lists this ribosomal RNA (379 nucleotides) under uncultured eukaryote. Its description in RNAcentral is "partial 18S ribosomal RNA". It matches the Rfam family "Eukaryotic small subunit ribosomal RNA", at positions 592 to 975 of the family's 1831-position model. The record is from RNAcentral.